Molecule: small nucleolar RNA, 138 nt
Filed under: Ornithorhynchus anatinus (platypus)
Lineage: Eukaryota; Metazoa; Chordata; Mammalia; Monotremata; Ornithorhynchidae
Source: RNAcentral
AACCUCUCAGGGUUGCACUUGGAGAGUUUCCAGUACUCUACCAGUCUCGGCUAUGGGAGGGAAAGUCAAGCAGAGGCAUAUCCAUUCCAUUCUUAGCUUGGGCAAUGGCUAGUGAGUGGAAAACGAUUUGCUCCAAGU